Molecule: long non-coding RNA, 386 nt
Filed under: Olea europaea (common olive)
Lineage: Eukaryota; Viridiplantae; Streptophyta; Magnoliopsida; Lamiales; Oleaceae
Description: long non-coding RNA (OEUR_LNC010889)
Source: RNAcentral
AAAUUUUUAUAUCAAAAUCUGUUGGUGAAUUUCUCUAAUCAACUGUAACAAGUUCAUCACCUAUUAAAGACGAUUAGCUGAAUCCCCGCAAAACCAUUUCAUAGAAGUUCAUUUUUACAUUCUCAAAGUAAAAGACGAGCUGCAGGUUUGUCAUAGACAAUUUUAGCACCCAAUACCUUUUAACAGACAACGUAAUGACCAAACAACUAGAAUGACACUUGCCUCUUUUACUUCCAAGUUCCACGUACAUUAGCUUACUCUAUUUUCAUAAUUUUUUUUACAUAACCUUGGCUAAGACUUAAAAGGCAGUAUAUUCAAUUCGUUUUGAACACCAUUUGUCUGAGCAACUGUACAUUCGCUUUGGAUCUAUCAAGUUUACANNNNNN